CUGAGAUGGCAUAAAAAGGCUGUAAACAUCCUGCAGACGCAUUUUGCUACGACUGCGGCCAAUUUAUCAGGACAAGAGCGAAAAAUUACUCUGUGGAAGCAUCUGCUAAGGUGUGUGCGGCCUACAAGGCAUAUUUCAGCAUGCCUGUUGGGGAUCAAGACAAACCCUGGGCACCUCAUUUCACCUGCAAGAAAUGCAAAAAAAACUCUGGAAGAGCCGCAUGGCUCACAGGGCUCUACCUAAUAGAUGAACUUGAACUUGAGAGAGCUGGGUGGAUUGCGACAUCACCGGGGGCGCGAGGGAUGGCGGUGGCUUGGGGAGGCUUUCAUCCAGCAGUGGAUCGAUCGUGGUUGAUGAUGAUGACGACGACGGCGACGACACUUGCUUGUACACGUGAGGAAUAUCUGCACGACGGCUGGAGACAAACCGCACGCGGACAACCUCUGACGCAUGUGAUGAACCUGUACGGAGACACGCGCUUCGCUGUUGACGCACGCGCACUUUGCCUCGAAAUGACACUUCGUGUUCUCCCCGCCGCAGUGAUUUCGGAUCACUUCUGUUGAUUUACGGUGGCGGUGUUCCGGCUAUCGACGCGUGACGGCGAGUCCCAAGAAUGUUGCGUAAUCGUCACAGACUGCCGGGACGUGGCAUUUUACGUGGGCCUCUGGGGCUGAAAGCAGCUGUCCUAUAGUUCCAACAACAAAACGUCUCAUUUAUAGAGCAGCAGCGUGUGACCUGGUCGAUGACCCACACCUUGUAUUUGUGCACGGUGUUUAUUUGCUCAUGCCGCAUUCGUCAUUGUCGCUUCUGCGGCUCCCAGAGAUGUCAAUGUUCAUGACGCAUUGCUCUAAGUGUUACCGAUGCGACCACCGUCGUCACGUCGGUUUUCCAUAACUCCGUGAUUGUCUUCACAUUUGCAUAGGAUUGUUUUUGUUCUUUGCUGUCUUUUCGGUGACGAGGAAGGUGACCUCAACCGCCUUCCGUCAGCUACACUAAAACACAUUCUUUAAACUGACUACGCAAAUUAUGCCCUCAUAUCAUAAUCGUCGUUGUCUCUUAAGCCAAAAAUAAUUUUGGAAAAAUUAGAUAUAAUGGAUAAUAGAUAUGUAUUUACAAAUGAAGAAGAUUGAUUUUUUUUACAUUAGUCAGGAAAUAAAACGCUUAGAAUGUGUUUCAUGAGCAACGAUAAUCACAUGUGAUGCUACUUAGCAAAACUGACGAUGUCAUUACCGUGGAUCUUACAUCGUGUGACAUAUCACACUGUCGCCGUGAUUAUUGUACAUAGAGUAUUGCAUUUACAUUCCGUAUUUGGCAGAUGAUAUAUUAAAAAAAUGCAUUGUAUGUACGUGCAUGGAAGCUUAGUGUUGCUGUAGUCUGUAUCUUGUAGAAUAUAUCAAUUAUUUAUAUUCCAAAAAAUCGU
Molecule: long non-coding RNA, 1420 nt
Organism: Lethenteron reissneri (Far Eastern brook lamprey)
Lineage: Eukaryota; Metazoa; Chordata; Hyperoartia; Petromyzontiformes; Petromyzontidae
Source: RefSeq, a predicted model, not a curated record